Molecule: long non-coding RNA, 395 nt
Filed under: Lathyrus oleraceus (garden pea)
Lineage: Eukaryota; Viridiplantae; Streptophyta; Magnoliopsida; Fabales; Fabaceae
Description: Pisum sativum (pea) long non-coding RNA (PSAT_LNC011245)
Source: RNAcentral
UACCCAAAUCUUUAUAUCCUACAAGGGAGGGGAUUGGGUAGUCUAAACCUAGAUCUGAACUAUCAUAAGGAAUCUACCCUUAACUAGGUCAUGCUGGUAUAUUACCUUACAUAUCUCGAAACCCGUUUGGGUUUCCCAUGCCAAUCAUUAUCCAUAUCUAUAAGGAGCCUUCUUAAACAAGACGUCCUUAUAUUUGACUUUAUCCUUAAACCCAUAUGUGGGUUCUAUAUCCAUCACAAUCCCUAAACCCGUGUGGGUUCUCCUAUCUGUCACUAUCCUAAUGUGACACUUCCAUUGCAUCUCAAAAAAAAAAAUUAGCAUACCUUCAAAAUUAAAAAUUAAAAAAAGAAAAAAAUAGUUUUCCAUACAUACACAUACAUUUGCAUAUCCUUUCC